This 13933-nucleotide long non-coding RNA is filed under the name Homo sapiens (human). RNAcentral's name for it is "non-protein coding lnc-C6orf106-2:1". The record is from RNAcentral. Lineage: Eukaryota; Metazoa; Chordata; Mammalia; Primates; Hominidae.
CUUUCAUCUAUAGGAUGGCGGGAAGGAGGAGUACUACGGGCCGCUACGAGGUUCAAUCCAAGCUCAUUUAAUCUUGUUUGUCGGUGCUUCCGGAAGAGCGUAUUUAAUCUUUCUAUAAAUAUUUAAUGAUUCUCUGCUACGCGCCUGGAGCUGCUAUAAAUGCUGAAAAAACAGCAGUGAACAAAACAGAUAAAAAUUCUUGUCCUUGUGGGGUUGAGAUUCUAGUGGAACAAGACAGAUACUAAAACCAACAGGAGCCGGCGCCGUGGCUCGCGCCUGGAAUGUCAGGUACUCCCGACGCUGAGACGGGAGGAUCACGUGAGCCCAGGAGUUGGACACCAGCCCUGGGCAACAUAGCGAAACUCUUGUCUCUACAAAAAAUUUAAAAACUAGCCAGACUUUGGCCCGGCGCGGUGGGUCACGCGUGUAAUCCCAGCACUUUGGGAGGCCGAGGCGGGCGGAUCGCCUGAGGUCAGGAGUUCGAGAUACGCCCGGCCAACCUGGUGAAACCCGGUCUCUACUAAAAAUACAAAAGUUAGCUGGGCGUGGUGGCGGGCCCCUGUAAUCCCAGCUACUCGGGAGGCUGAAGCAGGAGAAUGGCUUGAACCCGGGAGGCGGAGGUUGCGGUGAGCCGAGAUCGCACCAUUGCACUCCAACCUGGGCGACAGAGCGAGACUCCGUAUCAAAAAAAAAAAAAAAAAUUGGACGUGAUAGCGCCCACCUGUGGUCUCAGCUAGCUACUCAGGAGACUGAGAUGGGAGGAUCGCUUGAACCCAGGAGGUCGUGGCUAUAGUGAGUCGUGAUCGCACCACUGCACUCCAGGCUGGGUGACAGAGUGGUACCCUGUCUCAAAAAAAUGGUAAAUAUUUAUAGUAGUGGGUUAGGUGGAGCAAAGUGAAGCAGGGAAGAGGGGAGUCCAACUUUACAGAGGAUAGAGAAAGGUUAUCUCGUCUUUUUUAAAUUUAUUUUUGUUUUUGUUUUGUUUUGUUUUUUGAGACGGAGUCUCACUCUGUCGCUCAGGCUGGAGUGCAGUGGCGCUAUCUCGGUUCACUGCAAGCUCCACCUCCCGGGUUCACGCCAUUCUCCUGCUUCAGCCUCCCGAGUAGCUGGGAUUACAGGCGCAUGCCACCACGCCCGGCUAAUUUUUUUGUAUUUUUAGUAGAGACGGGGUUUCACCGUGUUAACCAGGAUGGUCUUCAACUCCUGACCUCAAGUAAUCUGCCCGCCUCGGCCUCCCGAAGUGCUGGGAUUACAGGCGUGACCCACCGCGCCCGGCAGGUAAUAAUUAUUGUAGGAUUCAAGGAAGAAUUACAUGUGAAGAUCCUUGUAAGUGUUUAAUACAAUAUACACACUAACCCCUCCACAAAAGGUAAUUAUUACAUAGGAGAAAAUUGAUAGAAGUAACUUGUCCACAGAUAUCACCUGUUCUAGCAAUAAGGCCAAACUUCCAGCCUGGUCUGUCAGACUCCAAAAUGGCCUUCCUCCUUUUAGAAAAGGGAAAUAUUAGCAAGCGUUGGGACCUGAGGAGAGGGAGUUUUUGUUUUUGUUCUUCUACCCUAUGUUCUCUGAUGGUAGAAUUGCAACCAAAUAAUAAUAAUAAUUGCUAGUUUAUUUGAAUGUUUACUAUGUCAUAGGUUCUUUAAAUGCAUUGAUUUACUUAAUCCGUUCAACAACCCUAUUUAUUCACAUUUCAGAUGAGGAAACUGACCUUUAGAAAGAGUAAGUACCACAAAGAUUACUUCCUGGUCCUAAGGGGUAAGUUAACUGUGCCCCGGCUCUUACCACCAUAACACCGUGGUAAAUCUUAACAUAAUGGCAGAACAACCAGAUAUUAUGUGUCUCCUGCUGGGAUGACAAUAUUAAGUAGCUACCAUCAACUAUGACUUUUUUUUUUUUUUUUUUGAGAGAGGGUCUCGCCCUGUUGCCCAGGCUGGAAUGCAGUGGUUCUAUCACAGCUCACUUCAGCCUCAACCUCCCGGGAUCAAGCAAUCCUCCCUCUUCACCUUCCAAGUAGCUGGGACUACAGGCACCUGACACCAUACCCUUGUUAAUUUUUUUAAUUUUUUGCAGAAAAAGGGUCUCAAACUCCUGACUUCAAGCAAUUUCCCACCUCAGCCUCCCAAAGUUCUGGGAUUACAUGUGUUAGUUAGCCUCUAUACCCAACAACUAUGACAUAUUAUAAAAAAUGUUUAGUAGCCACAAAAAUUAAAAAUAAUUUUUAAAAAAUGUUUAACUUAGAUCUAAUCAAGUUAACAGGAUAGUCUAUAGGAUCAGCUAAAGGAAAGCAAAAGGCAGCAAACAAAUUCUGGCAGUAGGAUGUUGUAAGGACAACUGGCCUCUUUCCUUCACUAAUUUAGGAAAAGGUAUUUUUCUAAAUUUAAAUAUUAAGAGACAUAACAACCAGAUGUAGUGUAUCAUCUACAUCUAGAUCCUAGUUUGGACAAACCAGCUAUAAAGGACAUUUUGCAGAAAAUGCCUGGGUCUUGAUGUUGCAUUUCCAGAAACCCACCUUUGUCCAGGUACCUUCAGUUGAUUUUCCUCAAGGGAAUGGAUUCAUCAGUUAUGUUGUUUAUUUUGUUUUGGUUUUUGUUUUUUUCUGAGAUACGUUCUCACUCUGUCACCCAGGCUGGAGUGCAGUGGCACUGUCUCGGCUCACUGCAACCUCCGCUUCCUGGGUUCAAGAGAUUCUCAUGCCUCAGCCUCCCGAGUAGCUGGGAUUACAGUUGUGUGCCACCGUGCCCGGCUCAUUUUUUUGUAUUUUUAGUAGAGACAGGGUUUCACCACGUUGGCCAGGCUGGUCUCGAACUCCUGACCUCAAAUGAUCUGCCAGCCUCAACUUCCCAAAGUGAUGGGAUUACAGGCAUGAGCCACCAUGCUCGGCCCAUCAGUAAUGUUUUGAUUUCUUCCUGAUUUCCCUCUGUGCUGACCCUGGCCUUUUUUUUUUGCUUUCAAGUCUAUUCUUCACUUUUCCCCUGCUCUUUUCAAAAUGGCAGUGGAAGCCGGGUUCAGUAGCUCACACUGGUAAUCCCAGCUACUCAGGAGGCUGAGGUAGAAGGAUCACUUGAGCCCAGAAGUUGGAGGCUACAGUGAGCUAUGGUCUGGCCACGGCACUCCAGCCUGGGCAGUGGAGCGAGACUCCAUCACUAUUAAAAAAAAAAAAAGGUCAGGCAUGGUGGCACGCACACCUGUAAUCCCAACACUUUGGGAGGCCGAGGCGGACAGAUCGCGAGGUCAAGAGAUUAAGACCAUCCUGGCCAACAUGGUGAAAACCCGUUUGUACUAAAAAUACAAAAAUUAGCUGGGCAUGGUGGUGUGCACCUGUAGUCCCAGCUACUCAGGAGGCUGAGGCAGGAGAAUGGCUUGAACCCAGGAGGUGGAGGUUCCAGUGAGCUGAGAUCAUGCCACUGCACUCUAGCCUGGCAACAGAGCGAGACUCCGACUCAAAUAAAAAAAAAAAAAAGUCAGUGGUGGACUGACUCCAUGAAGGCUGCAUGGGCUGGACUCCAAUACUGGUUGACUUCCAAGCUGAAUUGCUGGGCUCCAUCAAUUGGAGGCAUUUUCUGGAGAUUGGAGAGAUCAAGGAAAAAGCCAGAGUAUCUCCUACCCUGACACCACCUCCAAGCCAGAGUAUCCAUCCUCUCCCCACCCCUCAACAUCAGGCUGUCUCCUACAACCUACUUGGAUCUAACUUGUAGUAGUUGAUCCUAGACCCUGAGCUCUGGUAGCACAGUGUUGUCCUGUCCCUCUAGUGUAAGGGUGGCAGUAGCUUCUUGCUGUCACUCAUCUCUGUCUGGGCUAUUUGACUAUUCUGUUUGGCUUUUUGUCUCUGCCAACACCUGUAUAAACCAUUUAUCUGGAUUAAGUUCCCUGUGUUUUUUUUUUUUUUUUUUUUUGAGACGGAGUCUCGCACUCUCGCCCAGGCUGGAGUGCAGCGGCACAAUCUCGGCUCACUGCAAGCUCCGCUUCCCGGGUUCACGCCAUUCUCCUGCCUCAGCCUCCCGAGUAGCUGGGACUACAGGCGCCCGCCACCAUGCCCGGCUAAUUUUUUGUAUUUUUUAGCAGAGACGGGGUUUCACCAUGUUAGCCAGGAUGGUCUCGAUCUCCUGACCUCGUGAUCCGCCCACCUCGGCCUCCCAAAGUGCUGGGAUUACAGGCGUGAGCCACCGCGCCCAGCCUGUUCCCUGUGUUUUAAAGACUUAGAAUGGUUUUCCAGGUUGGACCUUGACAUAUAUGUAUAUAUACAUAUGUAUAUAUGCUCAGAGUGACCUUAUCUCCAAGUCCCAAGGGGUAUCUCCAUCAUUUCCUGCCCAUAGGCCCUGCUAUCUUGUAAAGCAGUGCUUUUCACACUUUUUCUCUGAAUGUCCAAGGCAACUGAGAGAGUUCAUUUGUCACCCUCAUUCCUCUAGGUCUAUAGCCAAAAUCCCUAGUGCCCACCUGAGCUUGAAAUGCCCUUGAAAUCUUGUGCUCUUGCGUGGUGUCCUAAAAACUCACAGUUAGUAAUCUACUUCAUAACACAUCUAUGUUGUUCUUAAGGUAUUUUACAUUUAAAAUGUAUUUUAUUUACUUAUAUUUGAAUAGGUAGUGUAUACACAUGGUAGAAAAUUAGAAAACCACAAAAAUGUUUCCUAGCCACACCCUUGUUCCCAGUUUCUUUUCUUUUUCUUUACUUCUUCUUUUUUUUUUUUUUUUUUUUUUUUUUUUUUUUUUUGAGAGAGAGCCUUGCUCUGUCGCCCAGUCUUGAGUACAGUGGCGCGAUCUCAGCUCACUGCAAUCUCCGCCUUCCAGGUUCACGCCAUUCUCCUGCCUCAGCCUCCCGAGUAGCUGGGACUACAGGCGCCCACUACCAUGGCCAGCUAAUUUUUGUAUUUUUAGUAGAGAUGGGGUUUCACUGUGUUAGCCAGGGUGGUCUCAAUCUCCUGACCUCGUGAUUCACCCAACUCAACCUCCCAAAGUGCUGGGAUUACAGGCAUGAGCCACCACGCCCGGCCUCUUUUUUUUUUUUUUUUUUUAUAGAGACAGAGUCUCACUCUGUAGCCCAGGCUGGAGUGCAAUGGUGUGCUCUUGGAUCACUGCAACCUCCACCUCCCGGGUUCAAGUGAUUCUCCUGCCUCAGCCUCCCCAGUAGCUGGGACUACAGGUGUGCACUGCCACGCCCAGCUAAUUUUUCUAUUUUUAGUAGACACAGGGUUUCACCAUGUUGGCCAGGCUGAUCUUGAACUCCUGGCCUCAAGUGAUCCACCUGCCUUGGCCUCCUAAAGUGCUGGGAUUACAGGCGUAAGCCACCGCACCCAGCCCCUUGUUCCCAGUUUCUUACAUAUCUUUCCAGAAAAAGAUUAUCCAUAUGCAAACAAAAAUAUGUUUCCUGGUUCUGUUUUACAGAUGCAUAGUAUUUCGUUGUGUAGAUGUACCUCCAUAUAUUAAUCAGUCCUUUAUUGAUGAAUGCUUAAAUUGUUUCCUGUCUCUUUCUAAUUUAGUGAUGCUGCAGUACAUCAUUAAUUCACAGACAUGCAAAUAUGUUUAUAAGAUAAAGUUUGGGCUGGGCACUGUGGCUCAGACCUAUAAUCCCAGCACUUUGGGAGGCCGAGGCGGGUGGAUCACCUGAAGUCAGGAGUUCAAGACCAGCCUGACCAAGAUGGUGAAACCCUGUCUCUACUAAAAGUAGAAAAAUUAGCCAGGUGUGGUGGCACGCACCUGUAAUCCCAGCUACUCGGGAGACUGGGGCAGGAGAAUCACUUGGACCCAGGAGGUGGAGGUUGCAGUGAGGGGAGACGGCACCAUUGCACUCCAGCCUAGGUGACAGAGUGAGAAUCUGUCUCAAAAAAAUAAAUAAAAUAAAUAAAAAAGAUUGGCUGGGUGCGGUGGCUCACACUUGUAAUCCCAGCACUUUGGGAGGCCAAGGUGGGUGGAUCACCUGAGGUCAGAAGUUCGCAACCAGCCUGGCCAACAUGAUGAAACCAUGAAAACAUGGUGAAACAUUCUCUACUAAAAAUAGAAAAAUUAGCCAGGCGUGGUGGCACACACCUGUAAUCCCAGCUACUUGGGAAGCUGAGGCAGGAGAAUCACUUGAACCCGGGAGGCAGAGGUUGCAGUGAGCCAAGACCGUGCCAUUGCACUCCAGCAUGGGCAACGAGCAAAACUCCAUCUCAAAAAAAGAAAGGAAAAAAAAAAGAUAAAAUUCUAGGAGUGAAAUUGCUAGGUUGAAGAGCUUUCUUUGCAUUUGUAAUUUUGAAAAAUAAUGCUAAAUCGCCCUUCAUUGUGGUUAUAUUUGAGAGUGCUUUUUUACCGUAUCUGAUAAAUAAAAAAUGGCAUUGUGUUAUCAUUUCUUUUUUGAGACAGAGUCUCACUCUGUCACCGAGGCUGGAGUGCAGUGGCCGAGUCUUGGCACACUGCAAACUCUGCCUCCUGGGUUCAAGUGAUUCUCAUGCCUCAGCCUCCCAAGUAGCUGAGAUUACAGGUGCACGCCACCACACCUGGCUAAUUUUUGUAUUUUUGGUGGAGUUGGGAUUUCAGCAUGUUUGCCAGGCUGGUCUUGAACUCUUGGCCUCAAGUGAUCUGCCCACUUCGGCCUCCCAAAGUGCACAGGCGUGAGCCACUGUGCCUGGCUGUAUUAUAAUUUUAAUUUGUGUUUCUCCAUAUGAAUAAAGGUGAAUAUAUUUCAUAUGUUAAAAAGUCCAAUGAGCCUGGGCAACAUGGUGAGACCCUGUCUCUACAAAAAAUACAAAUAUUAGCCAGGCAUGGUGUCACACACCUGUAGUUUCAGCUACUCAGAAGGCUAAGGUGGGAGGAUCACUUAAGCCCAGGAGACUAAGGCUGUACUCAGUCGUGAUUGUGCCACUGCACUACAGCCCAGGCGACAGAAUGAGACCCUGUCCCAAAAAAAAAAAAAAAAUAUUUCACAGAUCCUUCUUUGUAGAUUGCCUUUUUUUUUUUUCUGACAGAGUCUCACUCUGUCACCCAGGUUGGUUUGAGACAGAGUCUCACUCUGUCCCACCCAGGCUGGUUUGCGACAGAGUCUCACUCUGUCACCCAGGUUGGAGUGCAGUGGUGUGAUCUUGGCUCACUACAAACUCCAUCUCCUGGGCUCAAGUGAUUCUCAUGCCUCAGCCUCCCAGGUAGCUGGGAUUACAGGCGCCCGCCACCACACCUGGCUAAUUUUUGUAUUUUUUGUAGAGACGAGCUUUCACCACGUUGGCUAGGCUGGUGUCCUAAUUCCUGACCUCAAAUGAUCCACCUGCCUUGGCCUCCUAAAGUACUGGGAUUGCCUGACUGCCUUUUUAUAUUCUUUGCCCCUUUAUCUGUUAUAUUGUUAGUCUCAUCCUUUUUUUCUUUUUCGUUUUUCUUUUUCUUUCUUUUUUUUUUUUUUUUUGAGAUGGAGUCUCGAUCUAUCGCCCAGGCUGGAGUGCAGUAGUGGGAUCUCAGCUCACUGCAGGCUCUGCCUCCCGGGUUCACACCACUCUCCUGCCUCAGCCUCCCGAGUAGCUGGGACUACAGGCACCCACCACCAUGCUCAGCUAAUUUUUUUGUAUUUUUUAGGAGAGACAGGGUUUCACCAUCUUAGCCAGUAUGAUCUCGAUCUCCCGACCUCGUAAUCUGCCUGCCUUGGCCUCCCAAAGUGCUGGGAUUACAGGCAUGAGCCACCAUGCCUGGCCCUAGUCUCAUCCUUUUCUUAUUGAUUUGUAGAGAGCUCUUCAUAUAUUAAGGAAAUUAACUCCAUGCCUCUUAUAUGAUUUGCAGAUAUUUUUCCACUUGUUAUUUGUCUUUGGCAUUAUUUUGGGUAGUUUUUAUCCUGAAAAAAAGGUUUUAAUUUGUAUGUUGGUCAAACUUAUUUAUCUUUUCUUUUUUGACUUCUGGGUUUUAUGUCACAUGUAGAUAGGCCUUCACCUUUCUAAGAUUAUUUGUUUAAAUUCUCUCACACAUUGGCUGGGCAUGGUGGCUCACGCCUGUAAUCCCAGCACUUUGGGAGGCAGAGGUAGGUAGAUUGCCUGAGGUCAGGAGUUUGAGACCAGCCUGGCCAACAUGGCAAAACCCCGUCUCUACUAAAAAUACAAAAAUUAGCUGGGCAUGGUGGCACAUGCCUGCAGUCCCAGCUACUCAGGAGGCUGAGGCAUGAGAAUCGCUUGAACCUGGGAGGCAGAGGCUGCAGUGAGUCGAGAUCAUGCCACUGCACUCCAGCUUGGGUGAAAGAGCAAGACUCCAUCUCAAAAAAAAUAAAAAAAUAAAUUCUCCCACAUAUUUUUCUUUUCUUUUUUUCUUUCUUUCUUUCUUCUUUUUUUUUUUCUUUUGAGAAGGACCUCUAACUGCAUCUCACUGAAAGAGAAAAAAAGAAAGACAGUCUCACUCUGUCACUCAGGCUGGAGUGUGGUGGUGCAGUCAUAGCUCACUGCAGCCUUGGCCUUUUGGGCUCAAGCAGUCCUCCCACCUGAGCCUCCCAAGCAGCUGGUACUAUAGGCACAUACCACCAUGCCUGGCUAAUAAUUAAAAAAAAUUUUUUUAGAGACAAAGUCUUGCUAUGUUACCCAGGCUGGUCUUGAACUCCUGGACUCAAGUGAUCCUCCCGCGUUGGCCUCCCAAAGUGCUGGGAUUAUAGGUGUGAGCCACUAUGCCUAGCUCAUUUUUUCUGAUUCUUUUAUUAUUUUAUUUUUUUCAUGUUUAUAUCCUUUAUCCAUCUGGAACUUAUUUUAAAGUAAGGUGUGGAAGAGGGAUCUAUGCUAAUUUUUCUUUUCACAAACAUCAACCUAGUUAUCCUAGCACCAGUUUUUGAAAAUCUAUCAUUUUUCCUACCAAUUUGAAAUCCUAUUUUAUUAUAGGCUAAACUCCUCUACAUUCUAUUUAACCUCUGGGCUUUCUGGUCUGUUUCAUUGGUCUAUUGAUUUGCCUCUACCAAGUGUUUUAAUUAUUACAACUCAUAUCUGCUAUUUUAAUAUAACAGUCUAUGUAAAUUAACCAGUUGAGUUACUUAGCUUUAUCCCUUCCUAAAAAAUUCUUCCAGUAGGCCGGGUGUGGUGGCUUAUGCCUGGAAGAAAUUUUCUAGUUGCAUAUGACAAAACCCUACUUAAACCUGCUUAGGUAAAUAGGAUAUAGAGGCUCAGCAAGCUGGGACAUUGAAGGGUAGAUUUAUCCUCAGGUGUGAUUGACUUAGGGCCUGAAAUAAUGUCACUCGGUCUCUCUCCUUUUCUCAUCUCUGCUUGUUUGCUUCUCUUUGCACACUGGCCUCAUUGUCCCACGUUGCAGCCUGGUUUCCUCCACACAGAUGGGACAGCCUCAUUUAUCUCCAAACUUCCAUUCUUCUAGCACAUAAUGCCAGAAGCCAGGGAAGGACCUAAAUGGGCACACUUAUACAUCAAGAAUCCUCCUUGGUUGGGGAUGAGUAGAAAACUGUGAUUGCCAGUCCCACUUAAACCUUAGGGAGAGAAGGAGGAAUACCCAAAACUUGGGGGAGUACUGUUGUCAAAGAAGAAGUAUAAAAACGCAUCCUGGGCCCAAAAUGGUAUGUACAGCUGCAACCACUGGUCUUGCCUAACCCAGUCUGCAAAGCCUAACUCAAAGGAGGUACCAGUUUAAGGUGGUAAUUUCCAUUGUCACCACCAGAAGACUUGAGUCCUUAGUUCCAUAGUAAACUACACCUUCCUCAACUCUCCUAUAUCUUUCCACAAUGCUGAAACACAAAAAGUAAUAGUUAUUCAACAAAUGUUUACUGAGCAUUCUCUUUGUGUUCAGGUCUCUGUUGGCCACCAUUAAUAGGAAAAUGAGUAACACACUGUGCCCAUCUUCAAGUUUAGUGUGGGACAUAAGCAUUUAAACAAAGAAUUGCAGCCUUUUUUGGUAAGGACUAUGAUAAGACAACUUUAUCAAAAGGCAGUAGCACAGUGGUCAUGAGCACAGCCUCUAGAUCCAGUCUGCCUGUGUUUGAAUCCCAGUAUCACCACAAGCUGCUGCUUUGAUCUUGGGGAAGUUGCUUAACCUCUUUGUGUCUCAGCUUUCUCAUCUGUAAAAUGGAGAUGAUAAUAGUACCUCCUUCAGAGGGUCAUGGCUGUGAGGGCUGAUUAAGAUCAUUCUCUUAAAGCACUUGGCAGGGUGUGGUGGCUCAUGCCUGUAAUCCCAGCACUUUGGGAGGCCAAGACAGGCGGAUCACGAGGUCAAGAGAUUGAGACCAUCCUGACUAACACGGUGAAACCCCAUCUCUACUAAAAAUACAAAAAGUUAGCCGGGCGUGGUGGCGGGUGCCUGUAGUCCCAGCUACUCAAGAGGCUGAGGCAGGAGAAUGGAGUGAACCUGGGAGGCGGAGCUUGCAGUAAGCCGAGAUCGCGCCACUGCACUCCAGCCUGGGUGACAGAGCGAGACUCCGUCUCAAAAAACAAACAAACAAACAAAAAACGAAUAAUAAAGCACUUAGCACUGCAUGGUAAGCAUGCAGUAAUUGGUGGAUAGUGUUGGGACUGUCAGUAAGAAUAAGUACCCAAAACCUAGGUCUCUUGAAUUCCAAAUCCAGGAAUCCCUCCAAACCUCUUCAGGGUCACACAGGGGAUGAGCUGUGGAACUGGAGAGGCAUUUUUCUUCUCCCAAUAAGAUACUUCAGCUUCACUUUGUUGUUUUGUUUGUUUUUACACCUUGUUUCUACUCCAUCAUAUCAGCUUCGCUUUGUAGCCAUCGUUGGCUGUUGACUCCUCCAUCUGUUAAGCACUCUUCAGAAUCUACAAUUCUUAGUUCCAUUGCCAAACCUCAGGGCCCUGAAGUGCAGGGGAGAGGCUGAAUUCCAAAGACAGACUUGCUUCUGUACUCUGAGUGAUACUUCCAGAGCUGUUGAUCUGUUGAUGGAUGCCUCACUGAGAAAGAUCAUACCAUUGUGGCCUUCCCUGCUAACUUUUCAUUUUGAACUGAGAGCUUGUGGCCAUGAAGUGGACUCAGAAGGCUAAAACUGGAUCUUUCUAUUUGGAAACAACAGCUGGAUGUAGGGAUGUAAAAGCUCACGCCAGGCCUCCCAGGUAGGUGUAAACAUAGCUGUGGCUGGGAUGACUGUGGCUGGCAAUCUUCAUCCCACUCUACCCUGCAAGUGAAAUCGCUUGGGAGGUGACCUAGCUGCUGCUUUCCAAGGCCAUGGGUAUCUGGAGACAAAGCUUUCUCCACCUAGCCUGGGCAAAUGAGAACAACACUAAGACUACGAUGAGGAUGCCCAUCUGGCACCUACAAGGUGGUGGCAGACACCACCCAUCUUUGCCUGGCUAUGUGGGAAGGAAAUAAUUAUUCGUUAGUUCUGCUGUUACUGUCCUGGCUCCCUCACAGUAAACAAAGGGCUCACUACUGAGAAUAGAAAAGGCCAAAGUCCCAGGGCCUGGGGAACAUGUUCUUUGUUGAACCUCUUUAUUAAUCUAAAGCUGUUGGACCAACAGGUUGUGGUGUUAGGCGGAAGCUGGGCAGGCACUAAUCACUAAGGCAGAAGAACGGGUUUGGCAGGGUAGUUUUGAGUAGCAGCUUAUUGAAGAGGUGUUAUUACUCACUUUUUUAUUUUUUAUUUUUUUGAGACAAGUUCUCAAUCUGUCACCCAGGCUGGAAUGCAGUGGUACGAUCUCAGCUCACUGCAACCUCUGCCUCCCGGGCUCAAGUGAUCCUCCCACCCCAGCCUCCCGAGUAGCUGGGACUACAGAUGCAUGCCACCAUAUCUUUUGCAUUUUUUUGAAGAGACUGGGUUUCACGGUAUUGCCCAGGCUAGUCUUGAACUUCUGGGCCCAAUCUAUCUGCCCACCUCAGCCUCUCAAAGUGUUGGGAUGACAGGCAUGAGCCACCCCGCCGGCCCUAUGACUCACUCUUGAAAUGUCUUUUCUUAGAUAGAUAUGAUCUUUGGUCAGGGAGUAUUCUAUUAGCGCAGGAAGCUUUCAGUCUGAUUCUAGGGGUGGCAAGCUGGAAACAGGAUCAUGAGUGGCCUCUAUAUGGCUUCAUACUCCAGCAGAACCUGAGGUUGUGGUUGGGAAUGAGACACAUACAAACACACAAACACACCCACACACAUACGCCAUUCUGCUGCCCUAUGGCAUGUUAUCUUUUAGUGGCUUGGCUUUUACUGGGAGAGAAGGGAAACUAACAUUUAUUAAGCACCUAGUUUGUGUCAGCACUAGGCAAUGUGCUUUCAUUAUGUUAUCUGAUGGGAUUUGAUUUUGAAGCUUUUUUUACUGAUAAGGAAACUGAGACUGAAGGAGAUGAUAUAAUCUGAACAAGAUUGCAUAGUUAAUAUGUGGGAAAAAGAGAAUUUGAGCCCAAAUAGAGUCCAGCGCUUACCCACUUUCCAUUGAAUACACUGCCUGUACACCUGAGACCGCCACAGUCCAGACCCGAGUGCAACCUGCCCCAAGUAACUCCUUUGCUGCAAUGGCUGAAGCUCAUUUUUUUCACAUAGAGACUUCAAAUCACCAACAUGUAGCCCCCAGCUGGAACGCCUUCCACAUAAAAGGGAUAGCUCCCCUAAAAGGUAUAUAUUUUAUGUCUUUUUUUUUAACUUUUUUUUUUUAAGAUGGGAUUUUUAUGUUGCCCAGGCUGAUCUUGAACUCCUAGCCUCAAGUGAUCCUCCUGCCUCAGCCUCCCAAAGUGCUAGGAUUAUAGGAGUGAGCCACCACACCUGGCAGGUGUAUCUUAUUGUAUGUAAAUUAUACCCUCAUUAAACCUGACUUUUUUUUUUCUUUUUGGUUGUAAGUUUAUUCAACGCAAAAGAAUCCUCUCCAAUUUUACUGAGGUAGCUGACUAUGUCCACAACCAAAUCCGCCUCUAAACUGGAAUUCAGUUGCUGACCCAGCCCCAGACUCGGCUUUCUUGUCGGCACCAGGUGGCACAGCACUCUGUCUGUAGGUAUCUCUGUCAGCUUCCCAUCUUGUGAGUCUCGCAGGCACAAUCUCCGGGGGCAGAUGAAGGUAAUCAUGGAGAUACUGGAUACCCUCAUUGGUAAGGUACCAGUAGAAAUGUCUCCAGGCAAACUGUUCCUUCACGUAGCCUCGGGACUAGAGAGACUGCAUGGCUUUCAUGACAUGAAGGUUGGGCACAUUCUUGUCUGCCAGCUCCGGGUGCUUAGGCAUGUGGACAUCCUUCUUGGCCACCAUGACUCCCUUCUUAAAAAGGAGUUCAUAAAUGGCAAUCCGGUUCUUCUUAGGCAUCAACAUCUCUGCGGCUGCAGGGGCCGGGGCCGGGGCUGGAAAAGCUAAACCUGACUUUUUAUUUUUAUUCAUGUACUGAUUUAGAGGCAGGGUCUCAUUCUCUUGCCCAGGCUGGGGUGUAGUGGCAUGAUCAUGGUUCACUGUAACCUUGAACUCCUGGGCUCAAGCAAUCGUCCUGCCUCAGCCUCCCUAAGAGCAGCAGCUGGAACUACAGUCACACCACCACAUUUGUUUUUGUUUUUUGUUUUUAGGAUUUUUUUCUCUUUUUUUGAGACAUGAUCUCACUCUGUUGCCCAAGCUGGAGUGCAGUGGCGGGAUCACAGCUCACUGCAGCCUCAACUGCCUGGGCUCAAGGAAUUCCCCUACCCUCAGCCUCCUGGGUACCUGGGACCACAGACAUGUGUCACCAUGCCCAGCUAGUUUUUUUUAUUAUUUGUAGCCAAGAGGUCUCACUGUGUUGUCCAGGCUUGUCUUGAACUCCUGAGCUCAAGCAGUCCUCCUGCCUUGGCUUCCCAAAGUGCUGGGAUUACAGGAGUGAGCCACCACUCCUGGCUGGACAUCCAGCUAAUUUUUGAAUUUUGGGGAUUAUAGGCAUGAGCCACCAUCCCAGCCUAUUUAUUUAAGUGUAGUCAAAGCAGUGAGGAAGAAGGAAAGAGUAGAACAGCCAGGUGCAGUGGGUCACACCUGUAAUUCCAGCACUCUGGGAAACUGACAUAGGAGGAUCACUUGAGCCCGGGAGUUACCAGCCUGGGCAACAUAGGGAGAUCUCUUCUCUACCAAAAAAAAAAAAAAAAAAA